UGGCGGCACGCCUAACACAUGCAAGUCGAGCGGUAGCAUGGUUAGUAGCAAUACUAACUGAUGACGAGCGGCGGACGGGUGAGGAACACGUAGGAACCUAUCCUUGAGAGGGGGACAACCAAGGGAAACUUUGGCUAAUACCGCAUAAACUCGAAAGAGGAAAGCUGCCCGCAAGGGUGGCGCUGAAGGAGGGGCCUGCGUCCGAUUAGCUAGUUGGUAGGGUAAAAGCCUACCAAGGCGAUGAUCGGUAACUGGUCUGAGAGGACGACCAGUCACACUGGGACUGAGACACGGCCCAGACUCCUACGGGAGGCAGCAGUGGGGAAUAUUGGACAAUGGGGGCAACCCUGAUCCAGCGAUGCCGCGUGAGUGAAGAAGGCCUUCGGGUCGUAAAGCUCUUUAGGUUGGGAAGAAGGGUGGUUAGUGAAUAGCUAGCCAUUUUGACGGUACCGACAGAAUAAGCACCGGCAAACUCUGUGCCAGCAGCCGCGGUAAUACAGAAGGUGCGAGCGUUAAUCGGAAUUACUGGGCGUAAAGGGCGCG
This 543-nucleotide ribosomal RNA is filed under the name uncultured Gammaproteobacteria bacterium. RNAcentral describes it as "bacterial SSU rRNA". It matches the Rfam family "Bacterial small subunit ribosomal RNA", at positions 37 to 571 of the family's 1533-position model. The record is from RNAcentral. Lineage: Bacteria; Pseudomonadati; Pseudomonadota; Gammaproteobacteria.